Molecule: ribosomal RNA, 429 nt
Filed under: Pseudomonadota bacterium
Lineage: Bacteria; Pseudomonadati; Pseudomonadota
Description: Proteobacteria bacterium partial 16S ribosomal RNA
Rfam family: Bacterial small subunit ribosomal RNA
Source: RNAcentral
UGGGGAAUAUUGGACAAUGGGCGAAAGCCUGAUCCAGCCAUGCCGCGUGUGUGAAGAAGGUCUUCGGUUUGUAAAGCACUUUAAGCUGGGAGGAAGGGCAGUAAGCGAAUACCUUGCUGUUUUGACGUUACCGACAGAAUAAGCACCGGCUAACUCUGUGCCAGCAGCCGCGGUAAUACAGAGGGUGCAAGCGUUAAUCGGAAUUACUGGGCGUAAAGCGCGCGUAGGUGGUUCGUUAAGUUGAAUGUGAAAGCCCCGGGCUCAACCUGGGAACUGCAUCCAAAACUGGCGAGCUAGAGUAGGGCAGAGGGUGGUGGAAUUUCCUGUGUAGCGGUGAAAUGCGGAGAUAUAGGAAGGAACACCAGUGGCGAAGGCGACCACCUGGGCUCAUACUGACACUGAGGUGCGAAAGCGUGGGGAGCAAACAGG